This 1733-nucleotide ribosomal RNA is filed under the name Escherichia coli. RNAcentral's name for it is "bacterial LSU rRNA". It matches the Rfam family "Bacterial large subunit ribosomal RNA", at positions 1 to 1767 of the family's 2925-position model. Lineage: Bacteria; Pseudomonadati; Pseudomonadota; Gammaproteobacteria; Enterobacterales; Enterobacteriaceae. The record is from RNAcentral.
GGGUUGUGAGGUUAAGCGACUAAGCGUACACGGUGGAUGCCCUGGCAGUCAGAGGCGAUGAAGGACGUGCUAAUCUGCGAUAAGCGUCGGUAAGGUGAUAUGAACCGUUAUAACCGGCGAUUUCCGAAUGGGGAAACCCAGUGUGUUUCGACACACUAUCAUUAACUGAAUCCAUAGGUUAAUGAGGCGAACCGGGGGAACUGAAACAUCUAAGUACCCCGAGGAAAAGAAAUCAACCGAGAUUCCCCCAGUAGCGGCGAGCGAACGGGGAGCAGCCCAGAGCCUGAAUCAGUGUGUGUGUUAGUGGAAGCGUCUGGAAAGGCGUGCGAUACAGGGUGACAGCCCCGUACACAAAAAUGCACAUGCUGUGAGCUCGAUGAGUAGGGCGGGACACGUGGUAUCCUGUCUGAAUAUGGGGGGACCAUCCUCCAAGGCUAAAUACUCCUGACUGACCGAUAGUGAACCAGUACCGUGAGGGAAAGGCGAAAAGAACCCCGGCGAGGGGAGUGAAAAAGAACCUGAAACCGUGUACGUACAAGCAGUGGGAGCACGCUUAGGCGUGUGACUGCGUACCUUUUGUAUAAUGGGUCAGCGACUUAUAUUCUGUAGCAAGGUUAACCGAAUAGGGGAGCCGAAGGGAAACCGAGUCUUAACUGGGCGUUAAGUUGCAGGGUAUAGACCCGAAACCCGGUGAUCUAGCCAUGGGCAGGUUGAAGGUUGGGUAACACUAACUGGAGGACCGAACCGACUAAUGUUGAAAAAUUAGCGGAUGACUUGUGGCUGGGGGUGAAAGGCCAAUCAAACCGGGAGAUAGCUGGUUCUCCCCGAAAGCUAUUUAGGUAGCGCCUCGUGAAUUCAUCUCCGGGGGUAGAGCACUGUUUCGGCAAGGGGGUCAUCCCGACUUACCAACCCGAUGCAAACUGCGAAUACCGGAGAAUGUUAUCACGGGAGACACACGGCGGGUGCUAACGUCCGUCGUGAAGAGGGAAACAACCCAGACCGCCAGCUAAGGUCCCAAAGUCAUGGUUAAGUGGGAAACGAUGUGGGAAGGCCCAGACAGCCAGGAUGUUGGCUUAGAAGCAGCCAUCAUUUAAAGAAAGCGUAAUAGCUCACUGGUCGAGUCGGCCUGCGCGGAAGAUGUAACGGGGCUAAACCAUGCACCGAAGCUGCGGCAGCGACGCUGAUGCGUUGUUGGGUAGGGGAGCGUUCUGUAAGCCUGCGAAGGUGUGCUGUGAGGCAUGCUGGAGGUAUCAGAAGUGCGAAUGCUGACAUAAGUAACGAUAAAGCGGGUGAAAAGCCCGCUCGCCGGAAGACCAAGGGUUCCUGUCCAACGUUAAUCGGGGCAGGGUGAGUCGACCCCUAAGGCGAGGCCGAAAGGCGUAGUCGAUGGGAAACAGGUUAAUAUUCCUGUACUUGGUGUUACUGCGAAGGGGGGACGGAGAAGGCUAUGUUGGCCGGGCGACGGUUGUCCCGGUUUAAGCGUGUAGGCUGGUUUUCCAGGCAAAUCCGGAAAAUCAAGGCUGAGGCGUGAUGACGAGGCACUACGGUGCUGAAGCAACAAAUGCCCUGCUUCCAGGAAAAGCCUCUAAGCAUCAGGUAACAUCAAAUCGUACCCCAAACCGACACAGGUGGUCAGGUAGAGAAUACCAAGGCGCUUGAGAGAACUCGGGUGAAGGAACUAGGCAAAAUGGUGCCGUAACUUCGGGAGAAGGCACGCUGAUAUGUAGGUGAAG